Molecule: long non-coding RNA, 208 nt
Filed under: Phoenix dactylifera (date palm)
Lineage: Eukaryota; Viridiplantae; Streptophyta; Magnoliopsida; Arecales; Arecaceae
Description: long non-coding RNA (PDAC_LNC015070)
Source: RNAcentral
GAUCCCGUAGGUUCUAUUCUGACUGGUAGUGAGACAUAUUGAGAUCUCCAUCUCAAUAUCACUGAAACUCCUUUCAGUGGACUGAAACGAUUUCAGUUCUACUCUCAGGGUUCACUGAUCACCAAGUGAAUGCCUUCGAGUCUCACAAUCCACUAGUGACACUUAGCAGUAUAUGGUGGCAACCCAGCAGAAUGGAAUGUCUGAACCU